This 2227-nucleotide long non-coding RNA is filed under the name Homo sapiens (human). RNAcentral's name for it is "HSALNT0356525". The record is from RNAcentral. Lineage: Eukaryota; Metazoa; Chordata; Mammalia; Primates; Hominidae.
UUUGACUACUUUGGAGGACAGGCUUUAGGGAGAAACCUGUUGUUCUUGUUUUUUUUUUUUUUUUUUCCAGGGGUGGCGGGGGGGGUUGGCAGUUGGCAUUUCUCUUAUGCCUGCUCCAGCUCUAUCCAGAGACGUGGCAUCAUAGAGACAUCCCGAUCUCCUCUGUGGAGGUCAUCGGACUGUACGGAAGAUGGGGAUGGGAUAGAAGAAAAUGGACUGGCAACCAGCUCUGCAGGGAAAUACAGGCAUACACUCACAAGAAACACCGUGCUUUAUCACCCAUAACAAAAAGAAAACGAAAUGUCAAUACUCUGCCCUAGCGAUAUCUGUGCGAGGCAAAAAAAGAAAAAAGCAAGCAAGCAAACCAGCAAGGGCUUUGGCGUUUGGGAAUAAUUAUUUAACAGCAGCUUGUUUGCACUUUGGAACACCUCGUGCUUCCAGAGCCGGCCCAUCCUGCUGGGGAGGGGAGAGGUCCCAGCGCUGCUGUCUGGCAGACCUUGGUUUCGGUGGGCACCAGAAGCGAGGCAGAUUGCUUGCUGCUGCAACUUCACGCGUGAGCUCCAGGCUCCCCUGGUUGGAAGGUGCCAGGGAGUGAGGCGGUUUUAAGAUUCCUUCAACAUCAGGAUUCCCGAUCAUCUCAUCAACCGACUUGUUAAGAAAACUGAGGCCCAGGGAAGUGGCUCACAAUUGUGUAGAAUUGUGAGGUGUCUUGACUGCUGGGCCAGGACUGAAGGACGUACGCCCUCUCCCGGAAUCGUCUCAGCUACAGAGAACCACCUUGCCCAAGGUGUGCACAGGGUGUGGCUUCCAAGGGGAAUGUGGAUGCUGGAAUGAGGGAGGCAGCCACCUAGGCCGGUCAAGUCAGAGGCCCAGCAAGGAGAAAGCGAGCCAAGGCAAACGCCGACAGAAGAGAACGAUAAAUCCGCGGCGCACUCGGCAGAACGUACACCGCACCGCAUAAUUUAGCGGGGCAAUGCCGCCGGGAGUCCACGCCAAGUUAAUGGAAUAUUUCCUGUAAAUAUUAUUUUCCCUUCCUGUCUCAUCAUCUCAUUUCAUUCAAAAAUCUUUACUAAUCCGGGGGAGUGAAAGUAAUGCAUCAAUUUCCAGAGCCAAUGCCCCUGCUUCCGAAAUACCCUUAGGAAUCACUGGAAGCCACCGCGGCUGCUUAGGGACAGGGGGGCAGGCCGUUUACUCUGGUUCCUUCUCCUAAUGCCUCAGAGGGGACCCCAUAGUGCUCCUAAUUGUGCAUCUAAGUGUACAUAAAAGCCCCCCUAAUUGCACAUCAAAUAAAUAAGUAAAUGCUGUCUGCUGAAUAUGUAACAAGGACUGAUGUUGCUAUUUCUUCCCAGGGGGGAGAUUUCAUUAAAUCUGGGCUGCAUUUCUAAGUGAUGAUUUACAGAUAUUGAAUAUUCUUUACAAGGGAGGCUUUUUUGGAGUUAUGUGCUUCACAAUAUUUGCUCUAAUGCUUAAAGCCUCAGAUACAGCCUGCUGGAGGUCUCUUUAUUCUAACUCUUAGUGUCCUUUUGGAAAGUCUUUUCUGCUUUAAUGUGUAAUGGCUUCCGAUGAUCAGAUGGCUGGUUUGUCUGCAGGUCUGGGGACUGUGCAACCCCCUGGUCUCCCAAUGCCUCAGUUACUGACGCUGCAAACAAGGCAGAUUGUCCCAGAGAUUAGAGCUCUCAGGCUUUCUCGGGCUUCAAUCAAUCAAAGGAACGUAAGGACCCCUCCCCUACAGAGAGAGCCGGACGUGAGCCAGAUUUUGUCCAGACUUACUUAUAUCUGCCCUGUGGGAUCCCGAUUCUGCAAGAUUUAAUAAACAAUGCCUCAACAGAUAGCAUUUAAUUUUCAUUCAAACGUUUCCAGGGAAGAAAGAGGUAAAACUCUUGCUUGUACCAGCACAACUGCCCGAAACCCGUGGGAUACCCAGUCUGAGGCAUGUUGCUAUCGACAGUCAUUUCACACAGCUGGCAGUUUUUUCUUUUCUGAUGGCCUAGCUCUCUUUACUCCACCGUAAAUGCAAACUAAGACGAAACUUGGGAUUUACCUCCGGUGCCUAAAUGCCAACCUGACACUGUCUCAUUGUCUCCUGAGCCCAGUAGGACGGUAAUUUGUGAAAUACGGAGCCUCUCACCUCAGCAGCGCUUCUUUCUAUUCCCACACAUAUGCACAUGCUAAAAUGGAAUGUGGUAACUAGCAUAAAAUAGGGUACAACAAUUGCUGCAAGAUUUGU